GCAAGUCGAGCGCUUCACUUCGGUGAGUAGCGGCGGACGGGUUAGUAACGCGUGGGAACGUACCCUUUUCUACGGAAUAGCCUCGGGAAACUGAGAGUAAUACCGUAUAAGCCCUUCGGGGGAAAGAUUUAUCGGGAAAGGAUCGGCCCGCGUUAGAUUAGAUAGUUGGUGGGGUAAUGGCCUACCAAGUCUACGAUCUAUAGCUGGUUUUAGAGGAUGAUC
Molecule: ribosomal RNA, 222 nt
Filed under: uncultured bacterium
Lineage: Bacteria
Description: partial 16S ribosomal RNA
Rfam family: Bacterial small subunit ribosomal RNA
Source: RNAcentral